Molecule: unclassified non-coding RNA, 395 nt
Filed under: soil metagenome
Description: partial contains 5.8S ribosomal RNA, internal transcribed spacer 2, and large subunit ribosomal RNA
Rfam family: 5.8S ribosomal RNA (bases 1-122)
Source: RNAcentral
GAUGAAGAACGUAGCGAAAUGCGAUACUUGGUGUGAAUUGCAGAAUCCCGUGAACCAUCGAGUCUUUGAACGCAAGUUGCGCCCGAAGCCAUCAGGUUGAGGGCACGUCUGCCUGGGCGUCACAUAUCGUUGCCCAAUGCCUAUUGCAGUGCAAUAGGAAUUUCUAGGGCGAAUGAUGGCUUCCCGUGAGCGUUGUUGCCUCGCGGUUGGUUGAAAAUCGAGUCCUUGGUAGGGUGUGCCAUGGUAGAUGGUGGUCGAGUUAGAACGAUACCGAUCAUGUGCAUGCUCCCCAAAAUAUGGCCUCUAUGCCCCACACGCGUCUUUUGACGCUCAUGACGAGACCUCAGGUCAGGCGGGGCUACCCGCUGAAUUUAAGCAUAUCAAUAAGCGGAGGA